AUAUGAGUGAGACGAGCAGAAUAAUCUUGGGAUAAAGGUCUUCUAAGUUAUCCAGACUUAUCCGGAAGCCAAGGAGGCACAGCUUGACAAGGAGAGCUGUGAAGACGCUUGAGGAUUUAACCAGCUUUAAGAGAGAAUCGCCUUCGCAAAAUUCCAAGAUUGAGCUGUUCUGGGAUAGUGAUGACCAAGGCUCCAGAGUCCAGAAAAGAACAAAGAGGGUAAAUGUUACAUUUAAAGAUACUACAAGUCCUAGAUCAGCCUCCAGCAGAUCUCCAGGUUCUCCUAAAGAAGAUGCAGUGAUGAAAGCUAAGGGUGGCUCAUCUUCGCAGCAGCUGGGAGCAAUUCGUCUCAAGCCAAGCGAAGAGAGCAAUAAAGGUAAAAAAGGGGUUGUUACUUUCAAUAUGCAAGGUAUAACUUACACCCAGAGAGAUUCAAGGAGAGGAAAAUAAAAUGUGAAAAAAUUGUAGUAGCACAUUUAAAUGGAGAACCAACCUUUCAUCAUCUAACAUUAAUUUUCCUUCAAAAUUUUGAAAGUGAAGAAUUGUGUUAAUUUAUUCAGCAGAAGUGUACUACUUAUCAGAACUGUGCCAUGGCUUAAGGCUUCAUGAACUGAGAAAAGAAAUAGGUGUAGGAUUGUCUUAACAAUGAAAUUGAGAAAAGAAAAAAAUAAUUAACUUUCCUAAUGAAUUUCUUAUGCAGAGUAUUUAAAAGCUCUUAUAGAUAGAUUUUUAGUUUUUAAUGAAUUACAUUGUCUUUAUAUGGAUGUCACACCAGGUAUGAUUUUUAAAUUUUAUUAUUUUUUUUAUGCUCUUGGCAUCCUGUUUGUGCUCAAGAUGUAUGCAAUAUGAAUAGAAGACCAUAAACAUGGUAGCAGAUUUUAGCACUUUGUGUGUUUAUUAAGUAUCUGUUACUUGAUGUAAAUGUACCACAAAUGUGUUCUUGUAUGAGAAACAUGUACUACUACUUGUCUAAACAUCUGAUGGUAAUACUCCUGGAAGCAGUAUACAAGGCUAAACAUUAGUUAUAUGUUUGAUCCACACAAGAAUCCAUUCUUACUUGUAACAAUGUAUGUGAAAGUAUGUGUAGUUGUUUAGAAGCAGGAAAAAAAAAAACAUUAAAUGAGUUGAGAGAGAUUUGAGAAAUUCAAAUAAAUUUUCUCUUUUUCUUUUUUUAUAUUUCUUUAGAAUACAUCAUUAUAAGUUGCAAUGCAAAGGGUAGAAGUUUUAUCAUAGUUUUGCUUUAAGUGGUCCAAUUAUUUUUUGAUAGAAUACUUUUUGAGUUUAAAGUUGUAAGAUUUCUUGUGGAUGCAAGUGAUUUAUCCCAUUGAAGUGUUGAACAGUCAUAUCAGGUAAUAAAGGUGUUGCAGCAUUGAAUAGAAGUCAUACUUAAUCUUACUAGGUAUGGAAAUCGCACUUAUCCUACAGCCAAUUCAUAUACCCUUUACUUUCUUAGGGUUGCAUAGUGAAUAGCAAAUAAUCUUAAUAUAAUCUACUGCUAGGUAUGUUUGGUGCUACUUUGGAUGUGGCAGUGAUAAGAUGAUGUUGAAAGGUGUACCAUUGUUGAGAUCAAUAUUGAAAUGAAACUCUUCAACACUAUAUUUUCUUGAGGAAGAAAUAGAUGUUGGCAACAUAGCUGAAACAGGAUUUUGAAAUAGGUGACCUGUCAGGGUUCUCUUCCCAAUAUUCAGAUGUCUUGAGCAUAUGUAUUGUCACUAAAGUUUGGUUAAGUCACUAUGCUGUGAAUUUAUACCAUUCAGGGCACCCUUGCUGAUACAACAAAGUUGAUAUGUAAAAUAUUUACAUUCUGGGGAGUUCAAGAGCACAAUGAGCACCACUUAAGGUAGCUUGAUUAAGGGAACUGUCACUGUACCCUUAAGGGGGCUGUCGUGCUGAUUUUUUUACGAAUAUUUUCAAAAAUACUUGGGGGGGGGGGAUCUCCCAUAAUCUAGUAGGCUUUGGCAAUCCCAUGAUGUAAUAUUUCCUCUAAUAAAUUAAGGAGUUAUGACUAAAUCUCUGACCCUCCUACUUCAAUGUUUACUUUGUUGCAUCCGUGCAAAUAUACUAGACAAAUUUUAUGUAAUUUUUUUUAUUUUUUUA
Penaeus vannamei (Pacific white shrimp) is the source of this 2096-nucleotide non-coding RNA. The record is from RefSeq and is a predicted model, not a curated record. NCBI's taxonomy places the organism in Eukaryota, Metazoa, Arthropoda, Malacostraca, Decapoda, Penaeidae.